RNAcentral lists this small RNA (206 nucleotides) under Serratia ureilytica. Its description in RNAcentral is "GlmZ RNA activator of glmS mRNA". It matches the Rfam family "GlmZ RNA activator of glmS mRNA". Rfam says of the family: This RNA was discovered in E. coli during a large scale screen. The sraJ gene was expressed in early logarithmic phase, but its level decreased with cell growth. Lineage: Bacteria; Pseudomonadati; Pseudomonadota; Gammaproteobacteria; Enterobacterales; Yersiniaceae. The record is from RNAcentral. RNAcentral also lists the same sequence under 3 other names.
GUAGAUGCUCAUUCCAUUUCUUAUGUUCGCCUUAGGCUUCAUAAACCCUGGGAAUGACGCAGAGCCGAUUUAGGGUGCCUAUCGCCCACGAGAACGAUGACUAACCCGUCAUCACGCUCAGGGCAAAACGUUGAGUGAGGCACCGCCCCUGUUGUCCUAGACCUGAUUGCUUCUUUAUACACUUGCCAUGCGGCAAGUGUUUUUUU